AUGGGGACGUGUUUCAUUCUGAGCGUUGUUCUGGCCGCUCUUUACGCAGGGGCGGUGCGGGGCGAUUCCGUCCAUCCCGAAAAACCUCUGGUGACUGCAGCAGAAGGAGAUACGGUGACACUCCGCUGUAACUACACUAGCAACAGCAUUGGUUAUAACGACUAUCUGUACUGGUACCGCCAGUUCCCGAACCAAACACUGCAGUACAUCCUGCGGAGAGAAACCAAGACGGACAGCGGUGUCCAUGAUAAUGCACCUUUUGCUGAGGAGAGAUUUUCAUCACAUGCCGGUGCCAGCGACACAACGUUAAACAUCACCGCCCUGGAGUGGACAGACACCGCGGUGUAUCACUGCGCCCUGCAGAGGCACGGCGACACAGUCACGGGGCAGAGCUGA
Non-coding RNA from Alligator mississippiensis (American alligator), 396 nucleotides. NCBI's taxonomy places the organism in Eukaryota, Metazoa, Chordata, Crocodylia, Alligatoridae. The record is from the annotation of a RefSeq genome assembly.